CCGUGGUGCUGCUGGAGGGAAGUGAAGUGGUCUCAUGCGAGAACACUUCAAAAAGAGUUCUUCCUUUUCUCUAAAUAAUCGGACGACAUCUACACUCUACAGUUUGUCCGACGCGUCCCGUUGGGCGCAGUGAAUGUGAGCGUGUCGGAAUGAGCUACGCUUAAAACAACCACAAGAAAACCACAAGCAGAAAACUGUGCAGCUCAGACUUUUAUUUGUUGUCAACGUCACAAAACAUUUUUCAAACAGACAAAAGAACACAACCACGUUCCCUUCCUGCUUCCUGCUGUAGCGAAGCCAGUAAACGUUUAGAUGUUUGGAUUGGACCACGUGACCUCAGGCAUUUUACAUAUUUACAUUAUUUGUAUUUAGUUUUUCAAAUGUUCUUUUAUUUUAGGGACCAAAUGUAGCUUAAUGUAUCGGAUCAGAUACGACGACGAAUGAAAAGGUUCCAUGAAAGUCGGAAGGAUUAAACUGUUCUAUCUUCUCCUAUUUAUAGUUUAUCUGACGCUCUUUCCUACUUGAGUGAAGACCAAAAGCUUUGGGUGGGUUUCAUCACCGCGUGGAGACCCUCGGCCUUCACCGACCCGCCUCCGGACCUGCGUUGCCACGGAGACGCCUGCAGGUGGCGCCAAAUCCGGUUUGGAUCCCCGCGCGUUGACUACGUCGAACUAAAUCGCCGCAGACGUCGUCGGUGUGCGGACUGUGAGCGCCGAUCCGGCCUACUUUGUGUUUCACGGAACGACGCAGCCCAGCCGAGCGCCACUGGGCUCCGGUGCUGCGAGGUACAAUAUCUCACACCGUCACCAAGAGACGGUGACGGAGAGAAAACACGGCCGGAGGCGGAUGUUCCCAUCACCGGACACGGCCCACGCCGUCAGAGCCACCAGCCGCGUUUCUAAAUUUCAAUUAUAAAUAAAUAUCGGUUAUUAUUUACAUGUCGAAAUAAGGUAACCUCGCCCACAUUUAAAUACAUUUAGCGUGUGUCUCACAAUACGAACGAUUUACUCCGAAGACAUUCAAAUGACGUAGCUUUAUUUAGACGCUCUCAGCCAGACGCUUCAUUUACAAAAUGAAUAAAUACCUUAAUACAAAUGUAGUUAAGACUACCGUGAACGCAAACGAUCCCCAGCUGACAGCUUCAGGCCGUUGACCCCCACUUGGCGAAAGGCCAAUUAUUUGAAUUAAAGGUGCGUUGCAUUCUGCUUCGAGGGGGUUUUACGUUAUUAUUCAUUUAUUACACGAAUAUUCCCGGCGUUAAGAGUUCGCCUCGUUUUUCCUGCCGUAACCUCGUAUCGAACUACGCAUUGCGCCCACCCAGUCAAAGCAACGUGCACGCACACACACGCGCACGCACGCGCGCUGAUGCAUAUACACUUGGGUGCAGGUGCACCCCCUCUCUCUCUCUCUCGCGGCGGCGUGACAGUGCACCGCUGCGUCCCGCUGCCGGGCCGCGCGUCCGCCCCGCCGGAGGGUCAGCGCGCGUAACGGCGAGGAAGCCACGCACUCGGGGGCACGACGGGACGAGGACACGUGGACGCGCGCGGGGAGGCCGUGGUGUGGGUUCCUCUCUUGGCAUUCACCGCGUGCCUUAAUUGUAUGGACAUUAAAUCAAGGUCCGCUGUGAACACGCAGAGGGACAACCCGGGAGGAAGUCGCGUCCUCGCGCCCCGCCGACGUGCGCGGAAUGAACUUCCGCGAGCUCCACACUCCCCCCCCCCCCACCCCACUCCCCCCUUCCUCCCCCCCGCACGAGACCGCAUGACACACACACACACACACACACCCGUGCGUAAGCGCAUGUAGGACACUCAAAUCUAAAGCCGAUUUAUAGCUCACGCCAGCAAAAACCCGCGCGCUUUCCCUGCGCCUCUUUUGGAUUCCAAAUUCUAAGCAAAUAGAUAUUGAAUCACUGCGCCACGGCUCGGCUCUAGAUACCCCGACCCCCCCCUCCCCCCCCUCACCCCCCGGCUGUGCGUCUUUUACGCAUCUCCUGGCACAAAAUGACAGCUGAAGCUACACAAGUGCUCUCGCUUUUGUCCGCUCGAUUUACAACAUCAGCCCCCCCCCCGCCCCCCCACC
Molecule: long non-coding RNA, 2082 nt
Organism: Gasterosteus aculeatus aculeatus (three-spined stickleback)
Lineage: Eukaryota; Metazoa; Chordata; Actinopteri; Perciformes; Gasterosteidae
Source: Ensembl